AAGACCUUGCGCUUUUGGAGCGGCCGAUGCCUGAUUAGCUUGUUGGUAAGGUAAAAGCUUACCAAGGCUUCGAUCAGUAGCUGGUCUGAGAGGACGGCCAGCCACACUGGGACUGAGACACGGCCCAGACUCCUACGGGAGGCAGCAGUGGGGAAUUUUGGACAAUGGGGGCAACCCUGAUCCAGCCAUGCCGCGUGAGUGAAGAAGGCCUUCGGGUUGUAAAGCUCUUUCAGCCGGAACGAAACGGUUACGGUUAAUACCCGUGAUUACUAACGGUACCGGAAGAAGAAGCACCGGCUAACUACGUGCCAGCAGCCGCGGUAAUACGUAGGGUGCGAGCGUUAAUCGGAAUUACUGGGCGUAAAGCGUGCGCAGGUGGUUUUGUAAGUCAGAUGUGAAAGCCCCGGGCUCAACCUGGGAACU
This 423-nucleotide ribosomal RNA is filed under the name uncultured bacterium. Its description in RNAcentral is "bacterial SSU rRNA". It matches the Rfam family "Bacterial small subunit ribosomal RNA", at positions 207 to 622 of the family's 1533-position model. The record is from RNAcentral.